This is a long non-coding RNA of Drosophila mojavensis, 4259 nucleotides long. RefSeq lists it as uncharacterized. The record is from RefSeq and is a predicted model, not a curated record. Lineage: Eukaryota; Metazoa; Arthropoda; Insecta; Diptera; Drosophilidae. The transcript has 5 exons.
AUUUAUAUACACAUUCAAAUGUAAAAUAUUAAUAUCGAUAGCGAUUGUGCACAAAAAUAUCGAUAGCUUCAUGACGCUUAAAGUGGUGUCUGUCAUUCACAUGUGAACGUUGCAUCUAGUUCUUUAGCCUUUAGUUCUUUAUUCACCGCGCCAGCUGUUUCAUAUUAAUAAACAAGAACGAACGACAGCUAAGCAUUGUCGCGCAAUCUGGAAAAUAAAUAUACAUAUGUACAUAUAAAUAUAUAUCACAUAGGAAUUAAAAAAAAAAACCUUUAAAAGACGUAGAUGUAAUUUCCUACAAGUUAGUAACCAAUCCAAAGUGGAAGCGCAGGCAUACAUAUGUCGCUUUAGUGACCCAACUUAGUGAUUUACAGUGUAAUCUUGGGUGUUUCUUCUGUUGCGAAGAGUGACAAGGUUUGAAAAGGUUUUGCUCAGAACUAUGGCUGAAAAUAAUGUUAUACAAAAAUCAAAUGUUGGUGUAAUAAAUAAAAGUUUAACACAAAAGCGAGGAAAUGGCGCGAAAUGUAUAAUAGAAACAUGUGGUGCGAGCUAUAGGAAAUGCGCCGACAAUAAUCGGGUUCAUUUAUUUUCGUUUCCCUCAAAAACUUCUCAUCUAAACAAGUGGAUCAAAAGAUGCAAUUUACCGAAUAAUCUUAACUUUAAAAGGGCCAAAAUAUGUAGCAGGCAUUUCGAACAGGAAUAUAUUGGUAAACGCAACCUAAGAGCUAAUGCAGUUCCGACCUUACAUUUGAGCAAUUCAAACUUAUCCUGUGAGAUUGUUGACUUUAAAGGUAACAUAAGAGCUAAUGAAGUCCCGCCCUUACAUUGGAACAAUCCAAACUUAUCCUGUGAGACUGUUGACUUUAGCGAUACGACUUAUUUAGGAGAAACGGUCGAAGAUGAACAUAAACAGGAAGAAAAGCAAGAGGAAGUGAAAGAGCCACUGCAGAUUAAAAAUAUUCAGAAUCAAUAUGACGAUGAAGAAUCUUUAGAUAAUUUUUUGAGCUUUAAAAAUAAGACAAAACAUCAAUUGUGGCAGGAUUUAGUAGAUAUUGAUAGUUCAACCUAUUGUUUAAAUUGUAUAAAUAGAGAGGAAAAUGAGGUAUAUUAUAGAAGAAAAUAUUAUAAUAUCGGAAUAGAACUCACAAGAGUACAGGAAAAGUAUAUUAGCUUAAAAGAAAAGUUUCUUGCUUUAAAGCAGGCGUCUAGAGACAUAUCCAAUCACUGAAAACUAGGAAUCGAUAAAAUAAUUCAAAGUAUUUAUCAUUGCUAGGUGCUAUCUGUGGCCUCCAUUUGGCUUGUUCAACUGCACAACAAACGCAAAUGCUGGACUUCUGCUGGCCGAAACGCUUGGAAAAACUUGCUGGGCUGUGUGGCAGUAAUUAUGCCGGCAGCUCAAUGCCUCUUGUCAAAGGGAUGAGGAGAAAAACACCUGCGGCGGCGCUUCGUGCUCUAAGAAAAAACAGAAAGAGAUCAUAUACAAAGAUUCCUUAAUCUUUCUGAAAGGUACUCAGUCUUCCGCACAAUGGUUACUGCCAGCAUAUCCGAAGCCGAGUGAGCUGAUCAAGCGAAAGGAUAAACUCAUCCAGGACACCGCAUCGGCGCCCAUGAAGGAAUCUGAAAGAUCUUCAAAAUUUGAUGAUAUUCUCAUUGAGCCACCGCUUGAGGAAUAUGGCGGUAGAUUUACAUAUAUUCUAUAUUUAUAGACAAUAUAGGCGAUCAUUAGCGUUGGAUCAGGGUCGAAUUUAUUGAAAAAAGCCCAUCGAAUUGGCUAUCACCUCUUCACCUCUUUUAAUUUGAUUUAAAUCAUCCUGAUCGCUAUCCUCGACGCGAACUUUGAUUAGCGUAGUGGUCACUGCAAAAAUGUUCUUUCAUUAUGUAGAGCUGUUCUAUAAAUAGCGAAGCCUGUUCAGUUAUUCAGUCAUUGAUAAGCAACAGAAGAACUUCAAUGAUUAUUAAAAUUAUUCAUUAAUUUAUAAGCAUUGAAUUUAAAUGUAAAACAUCUUAGCAACAAAAGAUAAAAAGAAAACAUGAAAUUUUUAUUCUAUGUAAUUUCGAGUUCCUAAUUAAGAAUUUGAUUAUAUAUGAAUUGUAUUUAUUUCAGUUAUUUUGUUAAAUAUUUUUUUAUAUAUUGAAAAUAAAGAUAUAGUUCCCUAAAAAUGUAAGUAGCAAGCAGAAGAAGGCGUUGCAGAUCAUAUAAAGUAUAUAAAGUAAACAAGUUACCAUUAAUUUUAAUUUUAAAUGUGUGUAUAUGUGGACGCACGAAAAAUAUCGAUUAAUCGAAAAUCGAAUGAACGUCACAGCUGUUGUAUUCGCCGUGUCAGCUGUUUCUUAGUUAUAAAGUAUAGCGGCGACAUCUAAACACGGACGAUCCGGACAAUAAAUAUACAUAUAUUUUGCAUACGCAGAUCAAAUGGACCCGUUUUUGAAGACUCAUCAGUUAUAUGUCAUAAAGUCAUACAAGUGAGAAACCAAUUCAAAGUAUUAAGAAGCGUCUAUGUCACUUAAGUUGACGGUCAACCACGCAACUGAGCGGUUUAUCGGGUGAUAUUUAAGUGAUUUUACUGUUGCAAAAAGCGACGAAAUUUGAAUAGGAUUUAUAUAUUUUUUUAACUAUGGCUGGUAUUGGACUGAAGAAUAAAGGUAAAAAGGAUUCACGAAGAGGUAGUGAGAAAUGUAUAAUAGAAAAUUGUGAUGCUAGCUAUAGGAAAAGUACUGAAAAUAAUCCGAUUAAACUAUUUAGCUUUCCCUCAAAAGCUUCUCAUUUAAACAAGUGGAUUAAAAUAUGCCAUUUGCCGAAUAAUCGUGACUUUAAAAGGGCCAAAAUAUGUAGCAGGCAUUUCGAACAGGAAUGUAUUGGUAAACGUAACUUAAGAGCUAAUGCAGUUCCAACCUUACAUUUGAACAAUCCAAACUUAUCCUGUGAGAUUGUUGACUUUAAACGUAACUUAAGAGCUAAUGAAGUCCCACCCUUACAUUGGAACGAUCCAAACUUAUCCUGUGAGACUGUUGACUUUAGCGAUACGACUUAUUUAGGAGAAACGGUCGAAGAUGAACAUAAACAGGAAGAAAAGCAAGAGGAAGUGAAAGAGCCACUGCAGAUUAAAAAUAUUCAGAAUCAAUAUGACGAUGAAGAAUCUUUAGAUAAUUUUUUGAGCUUUAAAAAUAAGACAAAACAUCAAUUGUGGCAAGAUUUAGUAGAUAUUGAUAGUUCAUCCUAUUGCUUAAAUUGUAUAAAUAGAGAGGAAAAUGAGGUAUAUUAUAGAAGAAAAUAUUAUAAUAUCGGAAUAGAACUCACAAGAGUACAGGAAAAGUAUAUUAGCUUAAAAGAAAAGUUUCUUGCUUUAAAGCAGGCGACUAGAGACAUAUCUAUGCAUUGAAAACUAGGAAUCGUUAAAAUAAUUUAAAGUAUUUAUCAUUGCUAGGUGCUAUCUGUGGCCUCCAUUUGGCUUGUUCAACUGCACAACAAACGCAAAUGCUGGACUUCUGCUGGCCGAAACGCUUGGAAAAACUUGCUGGGCUGUGUGGCAGUAAUUAUGCCGGCAGCUCAAUGCCUCUGGUCAAAGGGAUGAGGAGAAAAACACCUGCGGCGGCGCUUCGUGCUCUAAGAAAAAACAGAAAGAGAUCAUAUACAAAGAUUCCUUAAUCUUUCUGAAAGGUACUCAGUCUUCCGCACAAUGGUUACUGCCAGCAUAUCCGAAGCCGAGUGAGCUGAUCAAGCGAAAGGAUAAACUCAUCCAGGACACCGCAUCGGCGCCCAUGAAGGAAUCUGAAAGAUCUUCAAAAUUUGAUGAUAUUCUCAUUGAGCCACCGCUUGAGGAAUAUGGCGGUAGAUUUACAUAUAUUCUAUAUUUAUAGACAAUAUAGGCGAUCAUUAGUGUUGGAUCAGGGUCGAAUUUAUUGAAAAAAGCCCAUCGAAUUGGCUAUCACCUCUUCACCUCUUUUAAUUUGAUUUAAAUCAUCCUGAUCGUUAUCCUCGACGCGAACUUUGAUUAGCGUAGUGGUCACUGAAAAAAUGUUCUUUCAUUAUGUAGAGCUGUUCUAUAAAUAGCGAAGCCUGUUCAGUUAUUCAGUCAUUGAUAAGCAACAGAAGAACUUCAAUUAUUAUUAAAAUUAUUCAUUAAUUUAUAAGCAUUGAAUUUAAAUGUAAAACAUCUUAGCAACAAAAGAUAAAAAGAAAACAUGAAAUUUUUAUUCUAUGUAAUUUCGAGUUCCUAAUUAAGAAUUUGAUUAUAUAUGAAUUGUAUUUAUUUCAGUUA